RNAcentral lists this long non-coding RNA (4880 nucleotides) under Sus scrofa (pig). RNAcentral's name for it is "lncRNA (ENSSSCG00000041703.2)". The record is from RNAcentral. Lineage: Eukaryota; Metazoa; Chordata; Mammalia; Artiodactyla; Suidae.
UUUUUUUUUUUUUUUUUCAGGCAAGGCUUUAUUGGGACUUGACAAGUAACAGGUGCCCUUGCUGGUUCUCCAAGGAGGGUGAGCUGGUUCCUUAAAUGGGGUGAAGGUGGAGGUGGAUCAGGGGUCUGUCAGAGGGGCGGGUUAGUUGGUCUACUCACCCCCUUUUUGCUGCUGGGUACAGAGAUCAGGCACAGUUCCCUGUUUUUGCUCCCGGCACUUCAGAAUGGUGUAUGGCCUUUUUGUUAGUUUAUUGUUCAUAAUUGCCCCAACUGCAGCAUGCAUGCAGUCAUUUUUAACUUUCUUUGUAUUUUGUGGCUCAAGGAGGUAUUUGUCCAGGUGCAAGCGCUCUGAUAGAGGGUUCCUGUUCCAGCUUCUCAGUUUGAAAAAUAAAUGGUUGUAGAUCCCGUAGGCAUAUUCCAACCUGGAGUUUACAGUCUCAUGAUCUAAUUUGACAGCAUCACUGUGUUAUCUACAUAGUAAGAACAAGAAUUUCAGAGUAGUGUAAAUGAUACAAAAAAAGGUGAUAGAAUUGGGCCGGUCCCCAGCAUGUAGAAGCGUCACAGGCUGAUUUCCUGUCUGUGUGGACACCACUCUCCUCUCUGCCACGUGCUCACUAACCCACAAGCUCUGAACCCCUGUCCUUUGGGGAGUUUAUGGAUGCUUUAGUACAUAGGCACAGUGGAUUAAACCAUUGGCCACUGGUGAUUGAGUCAACCUCCAGGGCCUCUCCCCUCCCUAGAGGUCAGAGAGAGGUAGGACUGAGAUUUCCACCUAAUCACAUGGUUAGUUCUCCAGGCAACUAGUUCCCAACCUUAAGUUCAGUCCAAAAAUCAAGAGAAAUAAUUUGUAAUAACCUAGAUGGGAAAAAAGGAAAGGAUAUAGUUAUAUGUACAACUGAGUCACUUUGCUGUACACCUACAACUAAUACAACAUUGCAAAUCACCGACACUACAAUAAAAUUAAAUUUAAAAUGUAACAAUUUAAAACAUCAAGAGACACGUUUAUCACUUUCAUCACAGGAAAGUGCAAGGGUUUUCAGGAGCUCUGUACUGGAAAUGAGGAUGAAGACUAAAUACAUAGUUCUUAUUAAAAAUCACAGCACCACAUGUAGAUUUUUGCUUGAAUCUGUCAUUAUUCCAAUGACCAAAAAAAUAUUAAUAAGUUUAUUUUCAGAGUUCCCAUUGUGACUCAGUGGGUUAAGAACCCAACAUAGUAUCUGUGAGGAUGCAGGUUCAAUACCUGGCUUCACUCAGUGGGUUAAGGAUCCAGUGUUGCCAUGACCUGUGGUGUAGGUCAAACAAGCAGCUUGGAUUCUGCAUUGCCAUGGCUGGGGGUAGGUGGGCAGCUGAAGCUGUGAUUUGACCCCUAGCCUGGGAACUUCCAUAUGCCAAACGUGCGGCCCCGAAAAGAAAAAAAUUUUAUUUUCAUUGUCUUGAAUAUGGAGUCUAGAUCUUCCACUUUGAAGCAAAACCUGGACUCUUGACUCUGGAACCCCAAUUUCUUUAGCAAGUUUCUCUGUUCUUUGUGUGUGUGUGUGUGUGUGUGUGCUUUUUAGCACCACACCCAAGACAUAUGGAGGUUCCCAGGCUAGGGGUCCAAUCGGAGCUGUAGCUGCUGGCCUACACCACAGCCAUAGCAAAACAGGAUCCGAGCCGAGUCUGUGAACUAUACCACAGCUCAUGGCAACAAGGGAUCCUUAACCCACUGAGCGAGGCCAGGGAUUGAACCCACAACCUCAUGGUUCCUAGUCAGAUUUGUUUCCACUGCGCCACAACGGGAACUCCAGCAAGUUUCUCUUUGGAAUCAAUCCCAGGAUAAGGGUUAUCCACAAACUCUUUGAUCAGAGUUUGUAAUUGGGAGGAAGUGCAGCUGGUUCAACAUCAUCUCUCUCCUCUAGUUGGAAACUUCUUUGCAGGGCGAGCUUGGUCUUGGCUUGAGUCUAAGUUUUCCUCAGAUCUUUCCAGGGAUCAGUGCCUGGCUCUUCGAUUCUGAAACUAUAUCUGGAUUCUAGACUGUUUAGUGUUGACUUCCAAAGCAAGUUGUUUGGCAGCAUAGCCUGGGUAAGUUUUUUGGUUGAAUGUAUUGAUGAGAAUUUGCAGUUGCUCUUCGGUGAAUUUGGUGCAGCUGCGCCUACAACUUGUUGCCAUUGUCUUAUUUGGAGGAUUUUCUGGGACCAUGUUGGACAUAAAUGCCUGUAUGUAACAUUUUGCCCAGAAGAGAGUUGAUUUCUUUCUUCUUCUUCUUCUUCUUUUUUUUUGUCUUUUUUUUUGUCUUUUUGCCUUUUCUAGGGUUGCUUCCCAUGGCAUAUGGAGGUUCCCAGGUUAGGGGUCUAAUCAGAGCUGUAGCCGCUAGCCUACACCAGAGUCACAGCAAUGCAGGAUCCGAGCCAUGUCUGGGACCUACACCACAGGUCAUGGCAAUGCCAGAUCCUUAACCCACUAAGCAAGGCCAGGGAUGGAACCUGCAACCUCAUGGUUCCCAGCUGGAUUUGUUAACCACUGAGCCACGACGGGAACUCCAGGAGAGAGUUGAUUUCAGUUCAGUUCAACUGUACUGACCUCCACUCUGCUAUUUUGUUGUUGUUUUUGUUGUUGUUCAUGGCCACACCUGUGGCAUAUGGAAGUUCUGGGCUGGGGAUUCAGUCUGAGCCACAGCUGUGACCUAUGUCGCAGCGGUGGCAAUACCAGAAUCCCUAACCCACUGCACUGGCCAAUGAUCAAACUGCACCUCCGCAGCAACCUGAGCUGGAGCAAUCAGACCCAUUGCGACCCACUGCACCGCAGCAGGAACUCCAACAGCUGCUAUUUGUUGAGCAACCACCAAGCAGAAGGUACCAUUGGGGCUUUUCAUACACUGUCUUUAUUUCUUAUCACAACCUGUGACAGAAGUGUAUCAGGAGUGCUUUUGGCCAUGAUGUAGUAAACCCUACCACUUACUCGACAUGUAAGCAAUUUAAUUUUUUCCCCCAUAAGUAGGUAUUCAGAUUAGAAAAUUCAGGAUUGUAUGGCUGGUCAAGGUCAUUGCGAAGAACUCGGUUUCUUCUCUCUACCUCUUUCUCCACCACUAGUGUGAUUUUCUUCUUUGAAUAGAAUAGAUGUUGCCCCUCCAGAUACCCCAUCAACAUACCAGGCAGAAAAAAAAAAAAGAGCAUUGAGGGAGGAAAAAAGUAAAGGGUAAAAUAAAUAGCCUCCUCCUUGUCAAGUAUUGCCUUUUAUUCUGGAAGAGAAGGCCUCCCUGGGGUCUUCUGCCUGCAUCUCAUCAGCUAGAACUGGGUCAUGUCCUGGCCACCUCUGUCUGAAAAAGAAAUGAAAAUGUAAGUAUUUCACUUACUAGCCUCUGUUGUAGAAGGCAGAAGGUAAUAUGGUUGAAGUGAAUGCUGAGUCAGCUAAUCUAUGACACAUGCCAGGGCAGGUGUUAACCCUAAUUUUGCAGGUGAGGAAACUAAGGCUGAAAGAAAUCACAUGAUAAGCCUGAGUUAACUAAGGGAAUGUGGACCACAGUCAGUCUGCCCUGCAGAGAAGUUGUGCAUUGCCCAGGGAGAGGUGAAGGAACAUCUUUCAUCAGUGUCCAUCCCCACCUCCUUGGCUUCAGUGUCUUCUGCAGGCAUCCCCAGACCUUGGACAGGAAAUGUAGACUUGUAGAAUUCUUGAGGCCACCGAAUAUCUCUUGAGAAACUGAUCUUUCUGAUGCAGGAUCAUUGCCAUGGGGAUGAACAGACCCCUGUGAGGAGAGAGGACCUAGGGAAGUUUUCACAGCAAGUACUGCCAACAUAUCAAGGCCACUUGCCAGCAACUUUGUGUUGCACCAGCAGGAAGCAUCAGGGUGAACAGAGAAUCAUGCUUGUUUUUGAGUUGGUGUAGAGGUAGGUUAUAGCAUUUGAUAAAGCUUAAAAGAGCAAUGGUGAAGAGGUAAAUGGCUUGGGAAGGUAGAGGUGGAGGAAUAGUCUUUGUCCCUGUUGGGCUGGCUUAGACCCGAGGGGAGAGUGGACUUGUAGACAGACCUGGGGUAAACGGCGGUGUCAGCGAGGAUCACUGAGAUGGUUUUGAGGCAGUAGUUGUUGUGAAUGGUCUACUACAAGACCUGUGAAGAUAACUGUAAAUUUUUGAGAGAUGUAAAGAAGGCUUAAAUAGAGAGGUAUACCAUGUUCCCUGACUGGAAGCCAAUAUUGUAAACAUAGAAAUUCUCCUUAAAUUGAUUGGUAGAUCCAGUGCAAUCCCAAUGAAAUUCACAAGCUGCUUUUAUGGAACAUGACGUUCUAAUUCUAAAAUUUAUAUGGAAGUAUAAAAUGUAAAAAUUAUCCAAGACAUUCUUGUAAAAGAACAAGAGAGCUUGCUCUAACAGAUAUCAAGACUUACUAUGAAGUUAAAGAAAUUAAGACAAUGUGGUGUUGGUGUGAAGAUGGCAAAUUGAGCCAAUGGAGGAGAAUAUAGAAUUCAGAAAUGUAGUUUUUGCAUACAUAGACACUUCCAUGAGAAAAACAAGAUUACUGGGGGAAAGAUAGAAUAAGAGCUGAUCAUACAACUGGGUAUUCAUGUGGGAGAAAAAUCUGACCUUUAUCCCCGCAUCAUCUACAAAAAAAAAAAAUUUUGGAUGGAUUUGAAAAUUCUAGAUAGAUUGAAGUCCUAAAAAUUAAAGAAUAACCAAAUCUUUAAAAGAUAGAAUUGGAGAAUAACUUUGUGACCUUAGGGUAGGAAAAAAUUCAUAAGACACACAAAAUGUACCAACUAUAAAAGAGGAAAUUGUUCUACACUAAAGACCAUUGAGGAGUUCUCUUGUGAUGCAGUGGGUUAGGGAUCUGGCACUGUCACUGCAGUGGCUUGGGUUGCUGCUGUGGCAUGGGUUCAAUACCUGGCCCAGAAACUUCCAUGUGUCAAGAGCAU